This 253-nucleotide ribosomal RNA is filed under the name uncultured bacterium. RNAcentral describes it as "partial 16S ribosomal RNA". It matches the Rfam family "Bacterial small subunit ribosomal RNA", at positions 524 to 776 of the family's 1533-position model. The record is from RNAcentral.
UACGUAGGGACCGAGCGUUGUCCGGAUUCAUUGGGCGUAAAGAGCUCGUAGGCGGCCACUCAAGUCGAAUGUGAAACCUCGAGGCUUAACCUCGAGCCUGCAUUCGAUACUGGGCGGCUAGAGUCUGGUAGGGGGAUCUGGAAUUCCUGGUGUAGCGGUGGAAUGCGCAGAUAUCAGGAGGAACACCAGUGGCGAAGGCGGCUCACUGGCCCGGUACUGACGCUGAGGCACGAAAGCGUGGGGAGCAAACAGG